Sphaerodactylus townsendi is the source of this 476-nucleotide long non-coding RNA. RefSeq lists it as uncharacterized. Lineage: Eukaryota; Metazoa; Chordata; Lepidosauria; Squamata; Sphaerodactylidae. The record is from RefSeq and is a predicted model, not a curated record. The transcript has 3 exons.
GGAAGAAUUAGGCUGCAUGAUUUGGAAGAGCGGACAGCUACUCCACUGCUGGUUUCAAGUCAGGACGGACAACACGAGACAAGAACUCACGUUGGCAGAGACAUAACAUCUCGAGAAUCUCUGAAACUUGUCAGAACUCUAGCUCACUGUGGGUCUAGAAAUGACAACUUGGAUGGUAAGUGGAUAUUCAGCCAGUGUAUCACUAUCCAGCUCUGACCCAGAGGAGGACUGCCAAGGAAGAAUUUACACCCAAAGGAUGCAGAAGCUGAAUAUUCACCACACCAAAUCUUUCCUCAGAUGUACAGCAGAUUUUAGACAGCAAAGGAUCUGCUACCUUUAGAGGUUUUACUGAAUAUGUAGCCUUUCAGCUGGAAAAGAAGAUGGCAUGAUAUCAUCCAAUCAUGUUGGCUCUCAGAAGCCAAGCAGGGUCGGUACUUGAAAGACCGACCCAUUGCAUAGGAAUGUGUGCCAUGCAC